GGGGGCGAAACGGUUUCGACUGUCUAGGUGGAACGCAGGUCGCAUGCGGAGGAUGAUCGUUGGCCUCCUUAAUCAUCGGUCAAAAAAAUAACUGCGAAUAACCAACUCGCUCUCGCUGCUUAAGUUCAGCGACGUCUCUACCUGGAUGCCUGAUAAGGGCUAGAGGCGAACACAUCAGGCUGGCUGGAAGGUCGUGCCAGCGGGCUGACCAGUAAGAUUAAACAGAUGGCUGCUUUCACCGGCCGGCGUGGACGCCGCCUAACCGGAGAAAUAAGACUAAAUAGCGUCCUAAGCAUGUAGAAGCCUUCGGAAAAUCUCUUCAGGACCCGGGUUCAAAUCCCGGCGCCUCCACCA
This 354-nucleotide transfer-messenger RNA is filed under the name Lentisphaeria. Its description in RNAcentral is "JAAZKI01 sp012799905 Standard tmRNA". It matches the Rfam family "transfer-messenger RNA". From Rfam's summary of the family: Bacterial tmRNA, also known as 10Sa RNA or SsrA, is named for its dual tRNA and mRNA-like properties. Its role is to liberate the mRNA from a stalled ribosome. To accomplish this part of the tmRNA is used as a reading frame that ends in a translation stop signal. RNAcentral also lists the same sequence under 1 other name. The record is from RNAcentral. Lineage: Bacteria; Pseudomonadati; Lentisphaerota.